This 492-nucleotide ribosomal RNA is filed under the name uncultured bacterium. RNAcentral describes it as "partial 16S ribosomal RNA". It matches the Rfam family "Bacterial small subunit ribosomal RNA", at positions 29 to 507 of the family's 1533-position model. The record is from RNAcentral.
AGUGAACGCUGGCGAUAGGCCUAACACAUGCAAGUCGAACGGCAGCACAGUAAGAGCUUGCUCUUACGGGUGGCGAGUGGCGGACGGGUGAGGAAUACAUCGGAAUCUACUUUUUCGUGGGGGAUAACGUAGGGAAACUUACGCUAAUACCGCAUACGACCUACGGGUGAAAGCAGGGGAUCUUCGGACCUUGCGCGAUUGAAUGAGCCGAUGUCGGAUUAGCUAGUUGGCGGGGUAAAGGCCCACCAAGGCGACGAUCCGUAGCUGGUCUGAGAGGAUGAUCAGCCACACUGGAACUGAGACACGGUCCAGACUCCUACGGGAGGCAGCAGUGGGGAAUAUUGGACAAUGGGCGCAAGCCUGAUCCAGCCAUACCGCGUGGGUGAAGAAGGCCUUCGGGUUGUAAAGCCCUUUUGCUGGGAAAGAAAAGCAGCAGGUUAAUACCCCGCUGUUCUGACGGUACCCAAAGAAUAAGCACCGGCUAACUUCGUG